CUGAUAUCCUUUAUCUGUUGCAAGAAGUUGAUGAAUGGAUGUAGUUCUAGUAUAUAUUAGAGAAAUUUGGAUUUGACGUCCACUACCGCUACCUUUACGGGUAUUAACCAAUCAGAUGCGUUUGAUAUAUUUGAUUUACCAAUCGCAUCUAGCUGUCAGUGAGCAGAAUUAAUGAUAGCGAAAGUGGAAAGUUCAAAUCUGAACUUCUAUAUUGUGUCAAAACCGUCGUACAGGGUUACUAGUAGACUUUUAGUGGCCACACCAGUAAGACUAUUAUUUGGUUUGUUUAUGAAUGAACAUUGCACUACUCAAGCUUUUAAUAUCAAUCGUUUACCUUGAUGAUAUUCCAUCACAAUUAGAUAUUUACUGGAAAUAUAUGCUGGUGCAGCAACCCUUUGCCCUUUUUUUGGCAGAUCAGAACAUCUAAAACUCAAAAAUAUUGUUUCAGCACGAAGGUUUCGUUGUUGGAAACAUUGUACAUUCAAAG
Molecule: non-coding RNA, 487 nt
Organism: Paramuricea clavata
Lineage: Eukaryota; Metazoa; Cnidaria; Anthozoa; Malacalcyonacea; Plexauridae
Source: the annotation of a GenBank genome assembly